Long non-coding RNA from Brassica oleracea var. oleracea, 1202 nucleotides. RefSeq lists it as uncharacterized. Lineage: Eukaryota; Viridiplantae; Streptophyta; Magnoliopsida; Brassicales; Brassicaceae. The transcript is spliced from 3 exons. The record is from RefSeq and is a predicted model, not a curated record.
AAUUACUUUAAGCAAGAGAUGGAAGAGAGGGUUCUUGUAGGACGGACACACGUAGCUCUCUCUUGCUUCCAGUGAAUCUUCUUCGGCCAGCAUCAGACGAAUCGUCUCCUCUCUUCCUCACAUUUGAUUGAUAAUGCUCAGAAGUCGAGGUUGAAGCAUGGAGGCCCUUUGUGUUAUUGUAGGUUUCAAUUGAAUCAAUGCUCUCUCUGAUGCUUUCCUUGGAUCAAUAGAGAGGAGGAGGGAAGGAGAAUGGAAUCGGAAGCCCAGUGGACCAGUGGCGUUAACAGCGGAGGAAGAAGCCGUUCUGAGGGAAGGAAUCCGUUUGGAGCUUUUACAGUGGACUGCCAUGAAAGCUGCCGUCGAUAACGGUUGGGACGGCAUAGAUUCAUAUUAUUCACCUUUCUUUCUGGAUUUCUUAAUUCACGACCAAAGAUGGUGGCUUUCUGAUUGUUUCAUCAUGCAAUGCUUCUUGUAGAUGGGGUUUGAUGCUUUCUGAUUGUAUUUUUUUACAAUAUUGGUUUCGUGUUUUUGCUCCGUGAAAGCAGAAUCAUGAAAGACGUGAUUGAGACUUGAGAGAGAGCAGAGGCUGCAGAAGAACAAGAGCAAGAAGGUUAGAGCGGCUUAUGCUCCCCACAUUGAGCUUUUUGCCUGCUGACAAAAUGGCGGUUAUUGUGAUGCAUAAGAUGAUGGGUUUGGUUAUGUCCGGACAUGAGGAUGGGUGUAUCCAAGUUGUUCAAGCUGCUGUUAGUAUCGGCAUAGCAAUAGAGUAUGAGGUUCCCAUACCAGAGAAACCUGUGUCUGAGGAUCCAGAAGAGAUCCAAUUAUGGAAAUGGAGUGUUAGAAAGGCGAAAAAGAUUAACAGAGAGAGAGAGAGAGACGUUCCCUAAGAUGUGAUGUUGAGCUCAAGCUUUCUGUGGCUAGAAAAAUGAAAGACGAGGAAGGAUUCUACUACCCUCACAAUCCCGACUUCAGGAGCCGUGCAUACCCAAUGCACCCUCAUCUGAACCAUCUGAGUUCCGAUCUUCGCCGUGGAACCCUGGAGUUUGCUGAAGGACGCCCGCUUGGAAUCAUACCUUGUUGUUGCUGCUUACGAUGUAAGAAUAAUGUUCUUUGCCGUAUGUCAAGCUUUCUUUUCUGGUUGAUAUUGUGCUUUGAACACUCUUGUACUCUCUUUAAUCAUCAUUCACUCUUUUUAUUCACAA